RNAcentral lists this ribosomal RNA (253 nucleotides) under uncultured bacterium. RNAcentral describes it as "partial 16S ribosomal RNA". It matches the Rfam family "Bacterial small subunit ribosomal RNA", at positions 524 to 776 of the family's 1533-position model. The record is from RNAcentral.
GACAGAGGGUGCGAACGUUGCUCGGAAUUACUGGGCGUAAAGCGCGUGUAGGUGGGUCGAUAAGUCGGGCGUGAAAUCCCUGGGCUCAACCCGGGAACUGCGCUGGAAACUGCCGAUCUUGAGUGCCGGAGAGGGUGGCGGAAUUCCUGGUGUAGAGGUGAAAUGCGUAGAUAUCAGGAGGAACACCGGUGGCGAAGGCGGCCUCCUGGACGGAUACUGACACUGAGACGCGAAAGCGUGGGGAGCAAACAGG